Molecule: long non-coding RNA, 377 nt
Organism: Paralichthys olivaceus (Japanese flounder)
Lineage: Eukaryota; Metazoa; Chordata; Actinopteri; Pleuronectiformes; Paralichthyidae
Source: RefSeq, a predicted model, not a curated record
GCCAUCGUCUCUUCGGACUGAAAAACGAAAGCCUUAUAGCUCGCUCUCAUUCUCCUGAUCGCCUGCAGCAGUGCAGAGGCUCUGCGGUGCAACCUAUGUCCAGUGUUUGGCCGCUGCACAGUGGAGACCUGCAGGGGACUCACAGACGUCUGCGGCCGUGUCGUCUCUUUACGUCACAGCUAUUCUCACAAGAAGUGCCUGAGCCCAACGGAGGUCUUGCAUUUAGAGUCCAAUUUGAGCUUUUACAUCUUUAAGUGUACCGCAGACCUGUGCAACUGAGGACGAUGAUCUGAAACAACGUGAACUCUGUUCCAGCCAUUGCGAUCAAAGUUUAAUGCCUGGUGUCUAAGUUCAAUAAUAAAGAAAAGGAAGAAAUA